AGAGUUUGAUCAUGGCUCAGAUUGAACGCUGGCGGCAGGCCUAACACAUGCAAGUCGAGCGCGAAAGGCUUUCGGGCUGAGUAGAGCGGCGGACGGGUGAGUAACGCGUAGGAAUCUACCUGGUAGUGGGGGACAACUUGGGGAAACUCAAGCUAAUACCGCAUACGCCCUAUGGGGGAAAGCGGGGGACCUUCGGGCCUCGCGCUAUCAGAUGAGCCUGCGUAGGAUUAGCUUGUUGGUGAGGUAAAGGCUCACCAAGGCGACGAUCCUUAGCUGGUCUGAGAGGAUGAUCAGCCACACUGGGACUGAGACACGGCCCAGACUCCUACGGGAGGCAGCAGUGGGGAAUAUUGCGCAAUGGGGGCAACCCUGACGCAGCCAUGCCGCGUGUGUGAAGAAGGCCUUCGGGUUGUAAAGCACUUUAAGUGGGGAGAAAAGGGUAGCUGUUAAUAGCGGUUACCUGUGAUGUUACCCACAGAAUAAGCACCGGCUAACUCCGUGCAGCAGCCGCGGUAAUACGGAGGGUGCGAGCGUUAAUCGGAAUUACUGGGCGUAAAGCGCGCGUAGGUGGUUUGUUAAGUCAGCUGUGAAAGCCCCGGGCUCAACCUGGGAACUGCAGUUGAUACUGGCCGACUAGAGUACGAGAGAGGGAGGUAGAAUUCCAUGUGUAGCGGUGGAAUGCGUAGAUAUAUGGAGGAAUACCGGUGGCGAAGGCGGCCUCCUGGCUCGAUACUGACGCUGAGGUGCGAAAGCGUGGGGAUCAAACAGGAUUAGAUACCCUGGUAGUCCACGCCGUAAACGAUGUCUACUAGCCGUUGGGAGACUUGAUUUCUUAGUGACGCAGCUAACGCAAUAAGUAGACCGCCUGGGGAGUACGGCCGCAAGGUUAAAACUCAAAUGAAUUGACGGGGGCCCGCACAAGCGGUGGAGCAUGUGGUUUAAUUCGAUGCAACGCGAAGAACCUUACCAGGUCUUGACAUCCAGAGAACUUUCCAGAGAUGGAUUGGUGCCUUCGGGAGCUCUGAGACAGGUGCUGCAUGGCUGUCGUCAGCUCGUGUCGUGAGAUGUUGGGUUAAGUCCCGUAACGAGCGCAACCCUUGUCCUUAGUUGCCAGCGAGUAAUGUCGGGAACUCUAAGGAGACUGCCGGUGACAAACCGGAGGAAGGUGGGGACGACGUCAAGUCAUCAUGGCCCUUACGACCUGGGCUACACACGUGCUACAAUGGAACGCACAGAGGGCAGCAAAGGCGCGAGCUGGAGCCAAUCCCACAAAACGUUUCGUAGUCCGGAUCGGAGUCUGCAACUCGACUCCGUGAAGUCGGAAUCGCUAGUAAUCGUGGAUCAGAAUGCCACGGUGAAUACGUUCCCGGGCCUUGUACACACCGCCCGUCACACCAUGGGAGUGGGUUGCUCCAGAAGUGGUUAGCCUAACCUUCGGGGGGGCGAUCACCACGGAGUGAUUCAUGACUGGGGUG
Molecule: ribosomal RNA, 1475 nt
Filed under: metagenome
Description: bacterial SSU rRNA
Rfam family: Bacterial small subunit ribosomal RNA
Source: RNAcentral